GGACCAACCAAUAUCAGGCCGCCGACAUCCUACGGGUUCCGCGCGCCGCUAUGUUUAACUCGCAGCGGGCGUGGUGAGCUGUCUCCGCCCGCUGCGAGUUAAACAUAGCGGCGCGUGGAACCCGUAGGAUGUCGGCGGCCUGAUAUUGGUCGGUCCCCAAAUUUUUGCCUUUUCUCCGUGAGUGGACGAGAAAAAGGCGGGGCCUAAAUAUGAGGUCUUCUGCAG
Molecule: non-coding RNA, 225 nt
Organism: Caenorhabditis elegans
Lineage: Eukaryota; Metazoa; Nematoda; Chromadorea; Rhabditida; Rhabditidae
Source: Ensembl